CAGGACUCGCAAGACUCCCGUAAACCACUGUGAACUCACCUACAACCCGUUGCCUCGGCGGGUGCUCCGGGCGCGUCUUCGGGCGCUCCGGGGCGCUCCAGCCCGCCGGCGGCCCCUAAACUCUGUCUCUGUAACGUUGGCAUCUCCGAGCAGACUAUAAACGAGUCA
RNAcentral lists this unclassified non-coding RNA (168 nucleotides) under soil metagenome. Its description in RNAcentral is "partial internal transcribed spacer 1". The record is from RNAcentral.